Molecule: ribosomal RNA, 853 nt
Filed under: uncultured bacterium
Lineage: Bacteria
Description: bacterial SSU rRNA
Rfam family: Bacterial small subunit ribosomal RNA
Source: RNAcentral
ACAUGCAGUCGAACGGUCAGUAGCAAUACUGAUAGUGGCGCACGGGUGCGUAACGCGUAACCAACCUACCUGAAUCUGGGGGAUAGCCCGCCGAAAGGCGGAUUAAUACCGCAUAAAACAACAGAACGGCAUCGUUUAAUUGUUAAAGAUUUAUUGGAUUCAGAUGGGGUUGCGUGCCAUUAGCUAGUUGGCGAGGUAACGGCUCACCAAGGCGACGAUGGCUAGGGGAGCUGAGAGGCUGGUCCCCCACACGGGCACUGAGAUACGGGCCCGACUCCUACGGGAGGCAGCAGUAGGGAAUAUUGGGCAAUGGACGAGAGUCUGACCCAGCCAUGCCGCGUGCAGGAUGAAGGCUUUCUGAGUCGUAAACUGCUUUUGCCAGGGAAGAAAAAAGCGGAUGCGUCCGCUACUGACGGUACCUGGUGAAUAAGCACCGGCUAACUCCGUGCCAGCAGCCGCGGUAAUACGGAGGGUGCAAGCGUUGUCCGGAUUUAUUGGGUUUAAAGGGUGCGUAGGCGGCUGAUUAAGUCUGGGGUGAAAGCCCGUUGCUCAACAACGGAACUGCCCUGGAAACUGGUUAGCUUGAGUACAGACGAGGGUGGCGGAAUGGAUGCUGUAGCGGUGAAAUGCAUAGAUAGCAUCCAGAACCCCGAUUGCGAGGCAGCUGCCUAGACUGUAACUGACGCUGANGCACGAAAGCGUGGGGAGCGAACAGGAUUAGAUACCCUGGUAGUCCACGCCGUAAACGAUGGAUACUCGCUGGUGGCGAUAGAUGGUCACUGGCUUAGCGAAAGCGUUAAGUAUCCCACCUGGGGAGUACGCUCGCAAGAGUGAAACUCAAAAGAAUUGACGG